AUCCUUUAUGUACAUUUGAUUCCUGUAAGUCUGAGUAAACACCCUGUGAUGUCACGUGUGAUUUGAACAUCCAGACACGUUUGCAACAAGAACAUGACAAGGGUCUAAACAGCUCGCUGUGGCUCCAUAAGUUCCCUCAUGUCAUAAUUCAUGUGCUACAUUAAAGGAAACAAGCUAUCCAGCCCAGGAACCUCCUGAGAUCCCUCUGAGUGAAUGAAGACACAGUGGAGGAGGUGUCAGGAUCCAGGAAAAAAAACAUGCACUGAAUUACAGAGGAGAGCUGGAUGUUCUACUGGGUGUUCUACUGGAUGUUCUACUGGAUGUUCUAAUGGGUGUUCUACUGGAUGUUCUACUGGGUGUUCUACUGGAUGUUCUACUGGAUGUUCUACUGGAUGUUCUACUGGGUGUUCUACUGGGUGUUCUACUGGGUGUUCUACUGGGUGUUCUACUGGAUGUUCUAAUGGGUGUUCUACUGGAUGUUCUACUGGGUGUUCUACUGGAUGUUCUACUGGAUGUUCUACUGGAUGUUCUACUGGGUGUUCUACUGGGUGUUCUACUGGGUGUUCUACUGGAUGUUCUACUGGAUGUUCUCCAAGCUCUCCAAGCUAAAAACCACAGAUUCCAGAAAACGUUUUUAAACAACAAUCCAUUUAUUGUGCAUUUAUUGUACAUUUAUUGUACAUGACUCUUCAGCCCUUUUCAUGAGCUCAGAUAAUGUUAGAAAAUAAGAGUCAUUAUUAUACUUCAGACUCUAAUUUCAUCUGGAAAACACUGUAUGUUUCCUCAGAACAAUGUGAACCCAUGAUUGGAAAAGCAUCAAGAGAAGGCCAGAACACUAUGCACCGAUAACUUGAUGGUUUCUCAGUCUUUAGUGUAGCAGAAAAUCAGGCCACAUCACAACAGCUGGCCUGAAAAGACGCCGAGCGAGUGUGGAGAAGAGCGAGAGCCCUGCUUUCCUGCGACACCCACGUGUCUGCCACCGCAUGACCAAGCUUACAGAACAUAAACACACAGCUCCAGGUGUCAUCAACAUCUGCCAUGUUCCUUCAUCCCUUCUCACUAUGCUGCUGUUAACCGCUCCAUCAUUUCUCGGGAAUAUUUGCGUACAGAUUUCACACGACGAUGUCGAAUACUGCGCUUCUGAUUGGUCAGCGGCUCUCGUCACGAUCGUUUCCAUAGGAACGUGUCAUUCACAACAUGAACGGAAGCGGCAGGUUUAUCAGGCAUCCGUGGGACGAAUCCAUUACAAAAGAGCCGACACUCAAAGCUCCAUAUUUCAGCAGUCAUUUUUCACACCGAGCAUCUGGAGAAAUCUUAUAGACAUGUAUUACAUUACAGAGGAGCAAACAAACCCGAUGUGAUAAAGCGAGCGGACGGAAAGCUGACUCCCGGAAUAAGCCGAGGUUAUUUACAUUAUAAAUGUCGCCGGCGACGUGCUCGUAUCUGUCUCUCAGACCGAUCUGGAUUCCUCUCAGGACCGCGCCGUACAGGAGCUGACUAACCACAGUGAGAAAAAACAACAGCACCUUUUUGGAAAAUCUUGCAAAGCGCUGCAAAAAAAAAAAAAAGAAUAAAAUGAUCCACAACAGUGUCAGAUUUAAUGGAAGAGGGUCAGAUUUAUUAUAUACAAGAGAUAUUGUGUUCCUGUAGUGGUCCACUGCUGUUCAAAUUCUUCUCCAGGGUCCUUGAAAUGAAUUUUUCAUGCUUGUGAGCGUAGCUUACAUCAAAAAAAAGAUAAAAAAAAAUAGAAAAAAAUCAAGCAUAUUUCGAGUUCGGACCGUGCCGGUGGACUUCUGUGGCAGGAAAGUCUCUGAAUCAUGUUGUGGAAAAAUAUGAUGAAGCUAAAAGCCCCAAACCCAGAGCUAAAUGACACUCGUUACACUGCAUCGAGGGCUAUUUUACAAACAAAUAAAGUGAGAGCCGUAACAUUAAAUUAAAGCGAGCUUGCAACGGUU
Tachysurus fulvidraco (yellow catfish) is the source of this 1955-nucleotide long non-coding RNA. RefSeq lists it as uncharacterized. The transcript has 3 exons. The record is from RefSeq and is a predicted model, not a curated record. NCBI's taxonomy places the organism in Eukaryota, Metazoa, Chordata, Actinopteri, Siluriformes, Bagridae.